Molecule: long non-coding RNA, 465 nt
Organism: Raphanus sativus (radish)
Lineage: Eukaryota; Viridiplantae; Streptophyta; Magnoliopsida; Brassicales; Brassicaceae
Exons: 2
Source: RefSeq, a predicted model, not a curated record
CAUUCCUCUGUUUCAUCUCUUUUUCUUCUACGCUGCUCCGAUAUCCGAGGAGACUCUAGCGCUUACGAUCAAGAUGUUUCAUGUUCUUCCUAACUUCAGAGGAAUCAACAGUUACGGAUUCAUCCUGAUAAAGAUGUUCUUCAAUCUAUCACCGGUGAUGAGCUCAUGUCUAUCGAUAUGCUCUUCCUUGAUUCAAAGACGCCUAUUGCGAAGAUCAUUCUGAAUGCCAAGCAAAUUAGCGAUAUUUGUAGGCCAGUCGGUUUUGACCCGUGAACUUCUGGUGACGUCUCCUUCUUCAAAUUCAUCUAUAUUAUGAGUGUAUUCAUUGCGUUCAUUUUCGACUAUCAUAUUGUGUAAUAUGAUACACUAGAAUCUGCCCGCCUUUCGGGCGGGGUUAUUUCAUUAGAUGUAUUUUUUGGUUGUAUUAUAUUAUGGAAUUUGAUAUGGUAAAAUCUGUAUUGUGAA